CGACUGCUGUUGGGAUUCAACCUCUUUCUCUCGGAAGACCAGAGGAUCGAAGUACCGCCGGAUGAUGAUGAUGUGGGAGAGGAGGGUCCUCCUCCGGUCGCCGUCUUUUGUUCACAGCCACCACCAGGGUUACGGGGUGA
RNAcentral lists this non-coding RNA (140 nucleotides) under Fragilariopsis kerguelensis. Lineage: Eukaryota; Bacillariophyta; Bacillariophyceae; Bacillariales; Bacillariaceae. The record is from RNAcentral.